This 466-nucleotide ribosomal RNA is filed under the name uncultured bacterium. RNAcentral describes it as "partial 16S ribosomal RNA". It matches the Rfam family "Bacterial small subunit ribosomal RNA", at positions 28 to 507 of the family's 1533-position model. The record is from RNAcentral.
GACGAACGCUGGCGGUGUGCUUAACACAUGCAAGUCGAACGGUAAGGCCCUUUCGGGGGUACACGAGUGGCGAACGGGUGAGUAACACGUGAGUAACCUGCCCUCAUCUCUGGGAUAACAGUCGGAAACGGUUGCUAAUACUGGAUAUGAGCUUGCAAGGCAUCUUGUGGGUUGGAAAGAUUUUUUUGGUUGGGGAUGGACUCGCGGCCUAUCAGCUUGUUGGUGAGGUAGUGGCUCACCAAGGCUUCGACGGGUAGCCGGCCUGAGAGGGCGACCGGCCACAUUGGGACUGAGAUACGGCCCAAACUCCUACGGGAGGCAGCAGUGGGGAAGAUUGCACAAUGGACGGAAGUCUGAUGCAGCAACGCCGCGUGCGGGAUGACGGCCUUCGGGUUGUAAACCGCUUUCAAUUGUGACGAAGCUUUUUGUGACGGUAGCAGUAGAAGAAGCACCGGCUAACCACGUG